This 346-nucleotide ribosomal RNA is filed under the name uncultured bacterium. Its description in RNAcentral is "bacterial SSU rRNA". It matches the Rfam family "Bacterial small subunit ribosomal RNA", at positions 30 to 355 of the family's 1533-position model. The record is from RNAcentral.
AUUGAACGCUGGCGGCGUGCCUAACACAUGCAAGUCGAGCGGUAACAGGUGUAGCAAUACAUGCUGACGAGCGGCGAACGGGUGAGUAAUGCUUUGGAAUCUUCCCAGUAGUGGGGAAUAACCAGUCGAAAGAUUGGCUAAUACCGCAUACGUCUGUAAAGGGAAAGCGGGGGACUCGCCUCUUCUUCGGAAGAGAGGCCUCGCGCUAUUGGAUGAGCCAAAGACGGAUUAGCUAGUUGGUGGGGUAAGUAGGCCUACCAAGGCGACAAUCCGUAGCUGGUCUGAGAGGACGACCAGCCACACCGGAACUGAGACACGGUCCGGACGUCCUACGGGAGGCAGCAGU